CAGGGAAAUAGGUCACUGUGUCACGGUCCAUGUUCCAGGGACUGUGCUUCUGCCUGCUAAAAUUCCGAACGGAUCAAGAUUUCUGUCAGACCCAAGCUGCCACCACUUAGAAGCCUGGCUGCCUUUGGAGUGACAAACGCCUCCUCCAAACUGGUAUCAGGAAAGUGGGACGGCAAGUCACCAUGCAAGCUCACUUUCAGUCAUAGAGUGUAAGUGGAAAUCAUUGUGGUGCGGCGUCCGGACUUGAGAGCGGUAUUCCGCAGCAAAUCUGACCUAUCCGCUUGGCCGUCUUGGAACUGACUAGUUUCUGCUACUCGCAGGCAUAUCGAAUAGGUGUACUUUCCAUGGGAAACUCUCA
Sturnus vulgaris (Common starling) is the source of this 358-nucleotide non-coding RNA. The record is from RefSeq and is a predicted model, not a curated record. Lineage: Eukaryota; Metazoa; Chordata; Aves; Passeriformes; Sturnidae.